AGCGAACGCUGGCGGCAGGCCUAACACAUGCAAGUCGAACGAACCUUUCGGGGUUAGUGGCGGACGGGUGAGUAACACGUGGGAACGUGCCUUUAGGUUCGGAAUAACUCAGGGAAACUUGUGCUAAUACCGAAUGUGCCCUUCGGGGGAAAGAUUAAUCGCCUUUAGAGCGGCCCGCGUCUGAUUAGCUAGUUGGUUGAGGUAAUGGCUCACCAAGGCGACGAUCAGUAGCUGGUUUGAGAGGAUGAUCAGCCACAUUGGGACUGAGACACGGCCCAAACUCCUACGGGAGGCAGCAGUGGGGAAUCUUGCGCAAUGGGCGAAAGCCUGACGCAGCCAUGCCGCGUGAAUGAUGAAGGUCUUAGGAUUGUAAAAUUCUUUCACCGGGGACGAUAAUGACGGUACCCGGAGAAGAAGCCCCGGCUAACUUCGUG
This 434-nucleotide ribosomal RNA is filed under the name uncultured bacterium. RNAcentral's name for it is "partial 16S ribosomal RNA". It matches the Rfam family "Bacterial small subunit ribosomal RNA", at positions 29 to 507 of the family's 1533-position model. The record is from RNAcentral.